This 900-nucleotide long non-coding RNA is filed under the name Homo sapiens (human). RNAcentral describes it as "HSALNT0203475". Lineage: Eukaryota; Metazoa; Chordata; Mammalia; Primates; Hominidae. The record is from RNAcentral.
UUGUCUUGUGUUAGGAGGUGAAAUACUUGCUCUCUAUGUAAAAUACAAUGGCUGCCUCAAGUGGGUCACAAUCCAGUGGGGGAGUUGCCUAAAUAUAUUAAUUAUAAGAAAAUAAAGAAAGUGCAAAAAAGUGCUAUGAACUAAGUGCAUAUGAGCAGAGGGAAUAACAAAAGUAGAAAAUAAACUCAAUGUUGAGAAGACCCUUCACUAGAAUACCAUUUAAAUAGAGUCUUAAAGAAGACAACUUGGAAGAUGAAAGUUUAGUGAUGCUGAUGUGGAAAGCAAGUUAAAAAUUCCAUACAUAGAAAAUCUCUGUUCUAUACGAAAUCAUGAAUAAAGUCAUCAAAGUCAUGUGAAUAUUCAUGGCAUCAUGAGGAAUCAGUGUUACUGGAAUUGCUCUAGACGUACAUGGGAGUGCAUUAGAAGAGGAGGCUGGAGAGCCUUGUGAAGAAGGUACCUGCUUCCCUUUCUGCCAUGAUUGUAAUUUUCCUGAAGUCGCCCCAACCAUGUGGUACUGUGAAUUAAUUAAUUUGCUUUCCUUUAUAAAUUACUGAGUCUCAGGGAAGUUCUUUAUAGCAGUGUGAAAACAAACUAAUGAGCAUUUUUUAUGUUGAAGAACCUCUGGUAUGCUGACUCUUUAAGAGUUUGAGUAUUAAAAAAAAGUUUUCUGUCCAGCAAAGCCUUAAUAUUGAGCAUAGUGCAUAAUAUUCUCACUUAAGAAUUUUCAAAUUAGCUGAAUAAACAUUCUAAAAAAUUCUAGUUAAUGGAAUUAACAUAACUUUUCUGUGACUAUAUGGAAAUUAUCUUACAUACUGUAAAUUCAGAGGUAUACAUAAUUAGACUUUGUCUAUAUCUGUAAACACUGUAUUAUUUGAAUAAUUUUGAUUGAAUAACUAUUUU